AAGGCUGGUGGGGGCGGUGUUGCUCGGGGCUGCGAUGCCCCUUAGGUUGCGGGCAACCAGAGGCCUCACUCGUGGGCAGGAAGCAAGGGCGGACCCCGAGAGAUGACUGAUUGUGGGGGUGGGGACCGUCUGCUCCUCCUAAUGGCUGGGGACCGUGCACGUCUGCGCGGGCCGGACCUGCUCUUCUCGGGAACUUGCGCGGGAGGAGGCCCGGAGCUGCGCCGCUUUACCCUCUGCUCCCCGGUGCCUAAAACGCACACGCAUCAAAGUCACAGGACGAGUUAGAGAGGGCUCAGGAAGGUCACCGGAUGCCAGUGCCAGUUGGUGUCCAGGUUCUUGAAGCCAUCACAGGAAAGAAUUCAGGGAUAAGUCAGAGUAAGCAGAAAGGAAUAUACAAUAGAGUUUUCCAGAGGCUGCUGGAUGAGUCAUAUUGUAACAGAUGCAAUGGGAACAUGGAGCUAUGGGAACUCAACUGCCUUAAGUGAAGCCAGACAUUAAGGAGAUUUGAAAAAAUAUAAUACUAUUGAAGAGACUAUCAGAAAGCAGACAGGAAGCUCCACAGACAGGCGGGGCUGCUUUAACAGUACGCUUUGCUCGAGGGUGAAGAGGGCGAGAACCAGCUAUCAGGAGAAAGGCAGAGGGAGAUUUGAAACACAGAGGAGGUGAUGAGAAGACACAGCAGAAGAUAUCUGAAGACUGGAAAGAAUGCUGCAACCAACAGGAGAAGGAAAAGACAGAAAUGUGUUUUCCAUUUGGAGCAUCCAGAGGGAGCACAACCAUAUCAACACCUUGAUUUUGAUCCAGUGACAUUGAUUUUGGACUUGUGGCCUCCAGAACUUUUAGAGAAUAAAUUUGCAUUGUUUUAAGCCAACAGGUUGGUGGAAAUUUUUUACAGCAGCCACAGGAAGCAAACACAGACUCCUAACUGGUGCUUAGUCCUAGAAUAUCAGUUUCUGUUCCACUUCUGGAUCUCAUAAUUGCAUCUCAGACAUCAACACUGACUUCAUAUUCUUAAUGCACCAAUUCUACCAUUUCUUCAGGCUGCAAACAGAGAAAAACUUAUUUAAGCAUUCCAGAAUUGACCCAAUAGAAGACUCUCCAGAAAAGACUGCAUGGUCUCUGAAGCAGCAUGAUCAGCAUGACUGGCUGCAUCUGGGCUCCACCGUUUGCCACUUCAGACAGGUCCUUAGCCUCUUAGAGGUUCAUUUUCCUUGCUGUAGCCCGGAGUAAGAAUGUUUAGCCUACAAGAUUUAUUUUGAGGCAUCAAUGAAUCACUAUGUGAGCCUCACACAGUGUCUGGCACUGAUAUUACAAAAUAUGGUUGAUCUUGCCAUCCUUGUUAUUGUCCUGGUGGGGAUUCCUCUCUGUUGAAGAUACGGAGCCUCUAAAAAUGAGUGGCAGAGGCUCCCAGCUCAGGAUCCUUGUCCAGGUCCUAAAGAUCCUCCACUCUGCUUGUCACUCUGUUCAUUAUGUUUGCAUGGCCACCACGGUCAACACUACUGCGGCCUACCUCAAGUUCUCAUGCCUCACUCUCUGAGCUCAUGAGGACACAAGGAUCCUUUGGCAACACAUUAACUACACUCUGUGGCCAUCCCUUGACUUCUGAGAGGAUGUUUCCCUCCUCUCAAUCAAAAGCUCUCUUCCCUCCUGGGCAAGAUCCUUGCAUGCACCCAGCACCCUCACACCUGGUGCCCUCACACCCAGCACUCUCACACGUGGUGCCCUCACACCCAGCACCCUCACACCCAGCACCCUCACACCUGGUGCCCUCACACCCAGCACCCUCACACCUGGUGCCCUCACACCCAGCACCCUCACACCUGGUGCCCUCGCACCCAGCACCCUCACACCUGGUGCCCUCGCACCCAGCACCCUCACACCUGGUGCCCUCGCAACCUGCACCUUCAGAGGAAGAAAUAACAGAGGCUGCAGGCGAGAGAGUUACAAGGAAGGAGGAGCAGGAAGACACGAGAAAAAUUCAGAUAAACUCAACAUCUCCAGCCUGGGGGAAACGUGAGAGGGUGGUAUGAAGAUACACACGAUGCAUGUUGCUUAGUGAAAGCAGCCAGUCGGAAAAGGCUACGUAGUGAAUGACCCCAACUAUGACAUUCUGAAAAAGGCAAAACUAUGGAGACAGGAUAAAGAUCAGUGGUUGCCAGUGAGGCAGGAGAAUAGGGUCUGGGGGCAGGGAGCCUAAGGCUGAUUCAUGCUGACUUCAUGAACGGAAUCAAAAGGAAAACCCUAAAUUUCCAUGCCCACGUAACAAAAGGAUCAGAGGCUACUCCCUUUGCAACUCCCCCCAACUUUCUGUGUUGCAGAUGAAAAAUGGAAAGUGCCUCGGAUUGGUCCCCUCCUGCAACCAGUCAGACAUCUGCAUAGAGCGUAACUUUGUAACUUCACUUCAGCCUCUGCUUGGUCACCUUCCACAACCAAUCAGACUGGUCAUGGGCCACUAUUUCAUAGGGUGUAAACCAAGUGACCAAUGGGAAACAUCUAGAGGGUAUUUAAACCCCAGAAAAUUCUGCGACCAGUGCUUUUGAGCCUUGCUUGGGCCUGCUCCCACUCUGUGAAGUGCAUUUUUGUUUCAAUACAGCUAUGCUUUUGUUGCUU
RNAcentral lists this long non-coding RNA (2610 nucleotides) under Homo sapiens (human). RNAcentral describes it as "long non-coding RNA NONHSAT180623.1". The record is from RNAcentral. Lineage: Eukaryota; Metazoa; Chordata; Mammalia; Primates; Hominidae.